UUCCAUUUCAGUGAAUAAGU
Molecule: non-coding RNA, 20 nt
Filed under: Arabidopsis thaliana (thale cress)
Lineage: Eukaryota; Viridiplantae; Streptophyta; Magnoliopsida; Brassicales; Brassicaceae
Source: RNAcentral